GCCAGGCAUGGUGGCGCAUGCCUGUAAUCCCAGCUACUCAGGAGGCUGAGGCAGGAGAAUCACUUGAACCCGGGAGAUGGAGGUUGCAGUGAGCCGUGAUCGUGCCACUGCAAUCUAGCCUGGGCGACAGAAUGAGACUCCGUCUCAA
This 148-nucleotide non-coding RNA is filed under the name Homo sapiens (human). The record is from Rfam by way of RNAcentral. Lineage: Eukaryota; Metazoa; Chordata; Mammalia; Primates; Hominidae.